AAUCCGUGAUGAGGGCAUUUGGUUUAAUAACCCUUUAAGCGCUCUCAAGCGUCACAAAAGGUUUCAGUUGCUUUUGAGUGAAUGAGGUCAUUCCGGAGUCU
Molecule: small nucleolar RNA, 101 nt
Organism: Arabidopsis thaliana (thale cress)
Lineage: Eukaryota; Viridiplantae; Streptophyta; Magnoliopsida; Brassicales; Brassicaceae
Rfam family: Plant small nucleolar RNA R71
About the family: R71 is a member of the C/D box family of snoRNAs containing the C (UGAUGA) and D (CUGA) box motifs. Multiple nearly identical copies of this snoRNA have been identified in Arabidopsis, and it is thought to function as a 2'-O-ribose methylation guide for 18S ribosomal RNA.
Source: Rfam